GUAAAGACAAAGGGGUGCCCGGACGGGCUGAGAUCAUACCCUCGAACCUGAUGCAGUUAGUACUGCCGUAGGAAUUGGAUAUUGUUUUCUU
Molecule: regulatory RNA element, 91 nt
Organism: Bacteroides helcogenes P 36-108
Lineage: Bacteria; Pseudomonadati; Bacteroidota; Bacteroidia; Bacteroidales; Bacteroidaceae
Rfam family: TPP riboswitch aptamer (THI element)
About the family: Vitamin B(1) in its active form thiamin pyrophosphate (TPP) is an essential coenzyme that is synthesised by coupling of pyrimidine and thiazole moieties in bacteria.
Source: Rfam